This is a small nucleolar RNA of Eutrema salsugineum, 110 nucleotides long. The record is from RefSeq and is a predicted model, not a curated record. NCBI's taxonomy places the organism in Eukaryota, Viridiplantae, Streptophyta, Magnoliopsida, Brassicales, Brassicaceae.
AAUCCAUGGUGUGGACAAUCUCUCUGAUAGUCUAUGAAUCUUUCCCAAGCAUCAUAGAGGUCUUCUGUGUCUUCCUGCUGAACUUUUUGUAUCUCGUUCCUUAAAAGAUU